RNAcentral lists this ribosomal RNA (253 nucleotides) under uncultured bacterium. RNAcentral describes it as "partial 16S ribosomal RNA". It matches the Rfam family "Bacterial small subunit ribosomal RNA", at positions 524 to 776 of the family's 1533-position model. The record is from RNAcentral.
UACGAAGGACCCGAGCGUUAUCCGGAUUUAUUGGGUUUAAAGGGUGUGUAGGCGGACUUUUAAGUCAGCGGUGAAAUCUCCGGGCUCAACCCGGAAACUGCCAUUGAUACUAUUGGUCUUGAAUAUUGUGGAGGUGGGCGGAACGGGUCAUGUAGCGGUGAAAUGCUUAGAGAUGACCCGGAACACCGAUUGCGAAGGCAGCCCACUACGCAAUGAUUGACGCUGAGGCACGAAAGCGUGGGGAUCAAACAGG